RNAcentral lists this small nucleolar RNA (134 nucleotides) under Balaenoptera musculus (blue whale). RNAcentral's name for it is "Small nucleolar RNA SNORA70 (ENSBMSG00010018449.1)". It matches the Rfam family "Small nucleolar RNA SNORA70". From Rfam's summary of the family: snoRNA U70 seems to be exclusive to mammals and is a member of the H/ACA class of snoRNA which contain H (ANANNA) and ACA box motifs. Lineage: Eukaryota; Metazoa; Chordata; Mammalia; Artiodactyla; Balaenopteridae. The record is from Rfam by way of RNAcentral.
UUGCAGCCACUUAAGCCGAAGGUACUCUUUCCCCCUGGGGAAUCAGUGUACAAAGGCUGCAAACAGCAGCUUCCUCGGUAGCACAUGCAGCCUGUUGCCUGUACGGGUUGCCCUAAGGGACCUUGCACAUAGCC